This 404-nucleotide ribosomal RNA is filed under the name uncultured bacterium. Its description in RNAcentral is "partial 16S ribosomal RNA". It matches the Rfam family "Bacterial small subunit ribosomal RNA", at positions 28 to 526 of the family's 1533-position model. The record is from RNAcentral.
GAUGAACGCUGACGGAAUGCUUAACACAUGCAAGUCAACUGUGGCGGACGGGUGAGUAACGCGUAAAGAACUUGCCUCACGGAUAGGGACAACAUUUGGAAAGGAAUGCUAAUACCUGAACCUGUGCGAGAGCUUUGCGUCCCAUUAGAUAGUUGGAGAUGUAACGGCUCACCAAGGCGAUGAUGGGUAGCCGGCCUGAGAGUGUGAUCUGCCACAAGGGCACUGAGAAAGCGCCAUUACGCAUACGGGCGGAAGCAGUGGGGAAUAUUGGACACUGGACCGCAGUCUGAUGCAGUAAUUCUGUGUGUAAGAUGAAUCUUUAGGAAUGUAAAGUGUUUUCAGUUGGAAAUCGGUACCAACAGAAGAAGUAACGGCUAACUCCGGGCCAGCAGCCGCGGUAAUUC